UAGGGAAUCUUCGGCAAUGGGGGGAACCCUGACCGAGCAACGCCGCGUGAGUGAAGAAGGUUUUCGGAUCGUAAAGCUCUGUUGUUAAGGAAGAACGUGUGUGAGAGUGGAAAGUUCACACAGUGACGGUACUUAACCAGAAAGGGACGGCUAACUACGUGCCAGCAGCCGCGGUAAUACGUAGGUGGCAAGCGUUAUCCGGAAUUAUUGGGCGUAAAGCGCGCGUAGGCGGUUUUUAAGUCUGAUGUGAAAGCCCACGGCUCAACCGUGGAGGGUCAUUGGAAACUGGAAAACUUGAGUGCAGAAGAGGAAAGUGGAAUUCCAUGUGUAGCGGUGAAAUGCGCAGAGAUAUGGAGGAACACCAGUGGCGAAGGCGACUUUCUGGUCUGUAACUGACGCUGAUGUGCGAAAGCGUGGGGAUCAAACAGGAUUAGAUACCCUGGUAGUCCACGCCGUAAACGAUGAGUGCUAAGUGUUAGGGGGUUUCCGCCCCUUAGUGCUGCAGCUAACGCAUUAAGCACUCCGCCUGGGGAGUACGACCGCAAGGUUG
RNAcentral lists this ribosomal RNA (550 nucleotides) under uncultured bacterium. RNAcentral describes it as "bacterial SSU rRNA". It matches the Rfam family "Bacterial small subunit ribosomal RNA", at positions 355 to 896 of the family's 1533-position model. The record is from RNAcentral.